RNAcentral lists this ribosomal RNA (496 nucleotides) under uncultured bacterium. RNAcentral describes it as "partial 16S ribosomal RNA". It matches the Rfam family "Bacterial small subunit ribosomal RNA", at positions 30 to 523 of the family's 1533-position model. The record is from RNAcentral.
AUUGAACGCUGGCGGAAUGCUUUACACAUGCAAGUCGAACGGUAGAGGGGGCAACCCCUCGAGAGUGGCGAACGGGUGAGUAAUAUAUCGGAACGUGCCCAGUCGUGGGGGAUAACGUAGCGAAAGUUACGCUAAUACCGCAUACGAUCUAAGGAUGAAAGGGGGGGAUCGCAAGACCUCGCGCGAUUGGAGCGGCCGAUAUCAGAUUAGGUAGUUGGUGGGGUAAAGGCUCACCAAGCCAACGAUCUGUAGCUGGUCUGAGAGGACGAGCAGCCACACUGGAACUGAGACACGGUCCAGACUCCUACGGGAGGCAGCAGUGGGGAAUUUUGGACAAUGGACGCAAGUCUGAUCCAGCCAUUCCGCGUGCAGGAUGAAGGCCCUCGGGUUGUAAACUGCUUUUGUACGGAACGAAAAGGUCUCUCUUAAUACGGGGGACUCAUGACGGUACCGUAAGAAUAAGCACCGGCUAACUACGUGCCAGCAGCCGCGGUAA